AACGGAUUCCUCUACCUCCCGGAGACGGUCGGAGACCAUACGGAUCGGGUUUGACUCAUCAUAUGCGAUACUCUCCGCCGUCGAUGCGGCGAUGAGAAUCAGCAGAACUGCCGAUGGUAAGAUUGUUCUCACAGACAUCAUUGUCUUUCUUGUCUCAACGAACGCUUCUGCCUUUGCUUUAGCUAGAAGAGCGAUGUGAGAAGAGUACUAGUAGAAGACGGAAGAGAGAGAUAGAGAGACGGGAACGUUAUCGGGACACGUGGGUGUUUGUGAGUGGAGAGUUGUCCUAUAUACUUGGACUGUUGACGUGUACGGUGAUGUCAUUUUAUGCCAACAAAAAAUCAAUCAAUCAUAAUCAUAAGAGGCUCCAUGAUUUUUUAAUAUACUGGAAUAUUGCAAACUAGUCCCAUGGAUUAUGGCCUAGUUUAGCUCAGAACCCUUUUUAUUUAUUUUAUACAAGCGCAUCCUUUCAACAAAGAGUAUUUGUACAACGUUUUGUAUACAAGAAUUGACUUUGUUAUAAGAGAUUUUCCAGACUAUUUUUUCUUCUUCUUUUGACAGAAAAACCGGGGGCAAGUAAUUGGGUCUGGCCUCACUCUUGCUGCUGUUGCUGUUGCUGUUGCCUUGGUUGUCUCUCAAAUCAAAUGUCUUCACUUUGUUAAAUCCAUCAACCAUAAUCGGGUGCCGUGAAUGCCGGCCGUAACUUUGACUAAUUCUAUAGUACAGACAGAGGUGCCCCUUUUCUCCAUUCAUGAGAUUUAUCAUUGGACUGUACAUGUAACUUACCUUUGGGAGCCGCUUUGUCUUCUUUCUUAGUCUUCCUGCUCUUCCAGUGAUAUAUGUUUAUGAGAGUUUGAAAGCAUCCUUUUCUCGUUUCUAUCUUUGUAUUUUUCUCCAUGUAUCAAAGAACUUAAUUUCGUUUUUGUGCUGUAAUGGAAGUAUAAGGAGUAGAGAUAAUAUUUGACUGGGUUGGGCUGCUUAUGCUUCAGCUUGUACUAUGUUUACCAUAUAAAUAUAAAC
This 1020-nucleotide long non-coding RNA is filed under the name Brassica napus (rape). RNAcentral's name for it is "long non-coding RNA (BNAP_LNC017285)". The record is from RNAcentral. Lineage: Eukaryota; Viridiplantae; Streptophyta; Magnoliopsida; Brassicales; Brassicaceae.